GAUGAACGCUGGCGGCGUGCCUAAUACAUGCAAGUCGAGCGAACGGACGAGAAGCUUGCUUCUCUGAUGUUAGCGGCGGACGGGUGAGUAACACGUGGAUAACCUACCUAUAAGACUGGGAUAACUUCGGGAAACCGGAGCUAAUACCGGAUAAUAUUUUGAACCGCAUGGUUCAAAAGUAAAAGACGGUCUUGCUGUCACUUAGAGAUGGAUCCGCGCUGCAUUAGCUAGUUGGUAAGGUAACGGCUUACCAAGGCAACGAUGCAUAGCCGACCUGAGAGGGUGAUCGGCCAAACUGGAACUGAGAAACGGUCCAGACUCCUACGGGAGGCAGCAGUAGGGAAUCUUCCGCAAUGGGCGAAAGCCUGACGGAGCAACGCCGCGUGAGUGAUGAAGGUCUUCGGAUCGUAAAACUCUGUUAUUAGGGAAGAACAUAUGUGUAAGUAACUGUGCACAUCUUGACGGUACCUAAUCAGAAAGCCACGGCUAACUACGU
This 496-nucleotide ribosomal RNA is filed under the name uncultured bacterium. RNAcentral's name for it is "partial 16S ribosomal RNA". It matches the Rfam family "Bacterial small subunit ribosomal RNA", at positions 28 to 506 of the family's 1533-position model. The record is from RNAcentral.